RNAcentral lists this long non-coding RNA (1068 nucleotides) under Equus caballus (horse). RNAcentral describes it as "lncRNA (ENSECAG00000050933.1)". Lineage: Eukaryota; Metazoa; Chordata; Mammalia; Perissodactyla; Equidae. The record is from RNAcentral.
CAUAUGGAAAAAGCAGAGUACAACUUUAUUUUCACGCCAAUCCCUAUUUUAUACGCGCACAUAUGAACAUACUCUUACCAAAGACGAGCGUACGAUCUGUGACACGCGCUGUGGACCAACCAGAGGACCAGCACAUUAACGCCGGGAGGGUCCCCUUGCAGCCUCUUUGCUCUGCCUAUUUCAUGCAUGCUUAUUUGGUACAUCCGUAUUGUGCCAAGAACAGCCAGGACGGUGAUGGAUUGUCACCACUUUACUGCUGCAGAAACUAGAGCUCUGGGAAGAUAUGCACGUAAGAGCUCAGCAAGAUGGAAACUUUGCUCCAAGCUGGUGCAGCCGAGAGCACAGAGUUCCCUUUCCCCCCAGCUCCUAGUCAGAGGGCUAUCUUCCUGGAAGAGUCAGGAUAUCAGCAUCUCUCUCCUGCCCCUAGCUACCUGCAGCUGCGGCUAAGCCCCAGGUGAGAAUAGCUGAGAGGCAAGGCUUCCUUCUUCUUCCCAGUCCCCACUCACGGGAUGGAGGCUUGACCAUGGGUGGAGUGUGCUGGGACCACUGUGGUCCAGAGUGCCCUCACCCUGGCCCAUUUGUAGUUCAUAAAUCAGAGGUUCCAAGCCAGGAUAGGCAAGUGGAGAAGACCUGAGGCUACUGUCUCUCUCUCCACUGAGUGCCCAGCUCCUUAAGUGGGGAUGUCACUCAGAGAGAAGAGUGCCGUAUUUUCUACUCUCAGCUCCAGAGCUGUGCUCAGAGAUUUUGCCCGGAGGAAGAAGCAGGCCUUAAAACAGAGAGCUCUGAAUCUCUUCCCACAAGAACUGAGUUCAUUUGUAACAUGGUGUCGAAAAGUUCAAGCCCAAGGUUCCUCUCAAAAGCAGUGAAGGUUGUGGUGAAAGGCAACUGCGAAGUGGUUGGUAGAUUUGUUGGAGAUACAGGCUAAACUGCAGGCCAGAGGGUUUACCAGAGAGGAUCAGGGAGAGAGACGGUGGGGAGGAGCUCCCUGGAGUCAGAACAAAUCUCAAACAUUAAUCAAAGCUGCUCAAACAUGUUUAUAUCAGUCAGUGGAGCAAUUUGUGCUACCGG